UGCAGUCGAACGAUGAAGYAUUCUUCGGAAURYGGAAGAGUGGCGAACGGGUGAGGAACACGUAAGAAUCUGCCCCUCGGUCGGGGACAACUCUUGGAAACGAGAGCUAAUACCCGAUACGCUGUGGAGUGAAAGAAUUUCGCCGAGGGAUGAUCUUGCGUCUGAUUAGCUAGUUGGUGUGGUAAUGGCAYACCAAGGCGACGAUCAGUAGCUGGUCUGAGAGGAUGRACAGCCACAUUGGAACUGAGACACGGUCCAAACUCCUACGGGAGGCRGCAGUGGGGAAUUUUCCGCAAUGGACGMAAGUCUGACGGAGCGACGCUGCGUGAAGGAUGACGGCCYGCGGGUUGUAAACUUCUUUUCUCGAAGAAGAARCWMUGACGGUAUUCGAGGAAUAAGCAUCGGCUAACUCCGUGCCAGCAGCCGCGGUAAKACGGAGGAUGCAAGUGUUAUUCGGAAUGAUUGGGCGUAAAGMGUCUGUAGGCYGUAUAGARAGUCUUUUGUUAAAUGCCUCGGCUCAACCGAGAUCCAGCAAAGGAAACUUCUAUACUUGAGGGAAGUAGAGGUACAGGGAAUUCCCGGUGGAGCGGUGAAAUGCGUAGAUAUCGGGAGGAACACCAAUAUGGCGAAGGCACUGUACUGGGCUUUACCUGACGCUSAGAGACGAAAGCUAAAGGAGUGAUUAGGAUUAGAUACCCUAGUAAUUUUAGCCGUAAACGAUGGAAACUCACUGCCGAGCGAAAUACAACGAGCGGUGGUCAAGCUAACGCGUGAAGUUUCCCGNCUGGGGAUUACGCUUGCAAAAGUGAAACUCAAAGGAAUUGACGGNGACCCGCAC
This 838-nucleotide ribosomal RNA is filed under the name uncultured bacterium. RNAcentral's name for it is "partial 16S small subunit ribosomal RNA". It matches the Rfam family "Bacterial small subunit ribosomal RNA", at positions 56 to 926 of the family's 1533-position model. The record is from RNAcentral.